Molecule: unclassified non-coding RNA, 326 nt
Filed under: soil metagenome
Description: partial contains 5.8S ribosomal RNA, internal transcribed spacer 2, and large subunit ribosomal RNA
Rfam family: 5.8S ribosomal RNA (bases 1-119)
Source: RNAcentral
GAUGAAGAACGUAGCGAAAUGCGAUACGUAAUGUGAAUUGCAAAUUCAGUGAAUCAUCGAAUCUUUGAACGCACAUUGCGCCCCUUGGUAUUCCGGGGGGCAUGCCUGUUCGAGCGUCAUUAUAACCCCUCAAGCUCAGCUUGGUGUUGGGGCCUGCCAACUGGCAGCCCUUAAAAUCAGUGGCGGCGCCAUCUGGCUCUAAGCGUAGUAAUUUCUCUCGCUAUAGGGUCCCGGUGGAUGCUUGCCAACAACCCCCAAUUUUCUAUGGUUGACCUCGGAUCAGGUAGGGAUACCCGCUGAACUUAAGCAUAUCAAUAAGCGGAGGA